CCGCAAAAAGGGGCAAAUCUGCUUUCCGGGCCGGGGCAGCCGUGGUCGGCACGCCUGCAGCGGUCUCAGCGACCCAAAUUCUGCGGGGCGGUGGUGGUGGGAGGAAGGGUUGGAGCCCCAGCAGGUUGUCUGGGCUUCGUUUGCUUUUCGGCAAGGUCCUGGCCCAGGCCCCAGUCCCUCUUGGAGCGGAAGCCUCUGGACCUGUUGCUCCUAAGAAAGCAAGCGGCCCCUGACGCGUUGCUGUGGCCUGGUUUGACCCUCGUAGCCAGCCCAUGUUCUGUGAGGCAUGAAGCGCCACGCAGACACCACGACAAAGUGAGAUGAACUAAGACCUCUUCUUGAUUCUAAGCAGGGAACGCACAGCUCACCCUGUCACAUGCAGCGAUCAUAAGCUGAGAAUUACCCUCUUCCUUCCCACAGCGUCUAAUCUUUUUUUAUGUUUUUGUGGCAAGGUCUCGCUUAGUCGCCCAGGCUGGAGCGCAGUGGCGAUCAUGGCCCACUGCGGCCUCGACCUCCUGGGCUCCAGCGUGCGUCUAAUCUAGAACCAAAUCCUCCUUCCUUAGAUCAUCCCCCAAAUCACCCAACUACAGGUGAAAUCCUGUAAUAGUUUCCUCCGAACACCCUGUUGCUGAGACACCUCAACGUCUCAACCUGGUGUGUUUGUACGUAGAGUAAAAGACCCAACUUGUUUAACUACAGGCGUGUUUGCAGUGGUCUUUGGCUUAAGGGCGUUAUAGACUCUCAGUCGGAGAGUCACUGAGAUUCAGUUGAGACUCUCAACUCAGAGCAUGCCUUUCUGAGUCCCUUUUGUGUCUGUCUCUGGGAGCACAACCUAUUCUUGGCUGGGAAGAAACAGGCAUAUUCUUUGUUUCAUUCUCCUUGAACGCCUACCGUGGCCAGUUGCCGUUUUAGUUCUGACUGCAGAGAUGAAUAAAACAGAUUUGUAGGAGAGGCUGGUGAGAAGCCAGCCACAGACAGGCAGAGGCAGGUGGCACAUGUGUACGUCCUGUGUGGAAAAGAGCAGGGCCCUGGGGAAGAACCGUGGC
RNAcentral lists this long non-coding RNA (1046 nucleotides) under Homo sapiens (human). The record is from RNAcentral. Lineage: Eukaryota; Metazoa; Chordata; Mammalia; Primates; Hominidae.